RNAcentral lists this transfer RNA (72 nucleotides) under Cyanobacteria bacterium UBA11372. Its description in RNAcentral is "tRNA-Val". It matches the Rfam family "tRNA". From Rfam's summary of the family: Transfer RNA (tRNA) molecules are approximately 80 nucleotides in length. Their secondary structure includes four short double-helical elements and three loops (D, anti-codon, and T loops). Further hydrogen bonds mediate the characteristic L-shaped molecular structure. tRNAs have two regions of fundamental functional importance: the anti-codon, which is responsible for specific mRNA codon recognition, and the 3' end, to which the tRNAs corresponding amino acid is attached (by aminoacyl-tRNA synthetases). tRNAs cope with the degeneracy of the genetic code in two manners: having more than one tRNA (with a specific anti-codon) for a particular amino acid; and 'wobble' base-pairing, i.e. permitting non-standard base-pairing at the 3rd anti-codon position. Lineage: Bacteria; Bacillati; Cyanobacteriota. The record is from RNAcentral.
GGGGCUAUAACUCAACGGAAGAGUGCUUCCUUGACAGGGAAGAAGUUGGAGGUUCAAAUCCUCUUAGUCCCC